This is a non-coding RNA of Alligator mississippiensis (American alligator), 372 nucleotides long. NCBI's taxonomy places the organism in Eukaryota, Metazoa, Chordata, Crocodylia, Alligatoridae. The record is from the annotation of a RefSeq genome assembly.
AUGACACCAGUGCUGGCUUUGCUCAUCCUUAUGGCAGCUCCACCUGGUAUCCUGGCCCAGAUCACGCUGAAGGAGUCUGGCCGAGGGGUCAUGAAGCCCGGAGAGACCCUCAGCCUGACCUGCACCGUGUCUGGAUUCUCUCUCACUAGCUAUCAUAUAAGCUGGGUUCAGCAGGAAGCAGGGAAAGGGCUGGAGUGGGUUGGAAUAAUCUGGAGUGGUGGAAGUACUGAGUAUAACAGCGCUCUCCAAAGCCGCCUCACCAUCAGCAGAGACACGUCCAGCAGCCAAGUUUACUUGCGCCUGACCGGGGUGCAACCUGUAGACACGGCCCAGUAUUACUGUGUCAGAUACACAGUGAAUGAAAAUGCAUGA